CCGCUGAACUUAAGCAUAUCAAUAAGCGGAGGAAAAGAAACUAACAAGGAUUCUCUUAGUAGCGGCGAGCGAACAGAGAUUAGCCCAUAACCGAAUCCUUCAUCGUAAGAUGAUAGGAAAUGUGGUGUUUGGUUCUGAAUCCUACGGCAUGUUGGAGUCGUUCUAAGUCCAUGUGAUUAUGGCUUCAAGUCCAUAGAGGGUGUAAGUCCCGUAUGAACGAUACAGCAUGUCCAGGAGCGGUUCCUAGAGUCGGGUUGUUUGGGAUUGCAGCCCUAAUCAGGUGGUAAACUCCAUCUAAGGCUAAAUAUAACACGAGUCCGAUAGCGAACAAGUACCAUGAGGGAAAGUUGAAAAGAACUUUGAAGAGAGAGUUCAAUAGUGCGUGAAACCGGUCAAUGGAAAACCAGGAAGUGCUGAGGUGGAGUAUGUGGUAGUUGUUGGGUUAACUUGGUUUGCAUGGAGUGCGGUCACUUUAUUGGACGGCUUUGUGCGAGUCGGGUUAACCUUUCUAUUGCCCUUAUCUCGACACACCGGUUAGUUCGUACAUGGUCUGUCAUAGCGUGGAAGGUGGCUUGCCUCGCAAGUGUUAUAGCCACGCUGUACAGUACCGUACGUGAACUAUGUUUGGUAUAGCAUGGGUCAUACUGCCUGCUACAGUUACGAGGUUGCUGUGGGAACUCAUACGAGAUCUCAUGGUAUUCUGAAUGGCAGUAGUAGGUCUCUGUGAUUCAUGUCCAAAAUUCGGUGUGAUAUAGUAGGCAUACUUCCUGACCCGUCUUGAAACACGGACCAAGGAGUUUAACAUGUACGCGAGUCAUUGGGUCGUACGAAACCUAAAGGCGCAGUGAAAGUAAAGACUUGGCCAUCCAAGUUCAGGCACGAUCCCGGAACUGAUGGUCUUCUUGAACACAGUCUGGGCGCAGUGCCGGCUCGUCCCAUGUUUUAUUAAGCGGGGCGACGCAAGAGCGUACAUGUUGAGACCCGAAAGAUGGUGAACUAUGCUUGAGCAGGAUGAAGCCAGAGGAAACUCUGGUGGAAGUCCGUAGCGAUUCUGACGUGCAAAUCGAUCGUCUGACUUGAGUAUAGGGGCGAAAGACUAAUCGAACCAUCUAGUAGCUGGUUCCCUCCGAAGUUUCCCUCAGGAUAGCAGGCACUUGGGAAUCAAACAGUUUUAUCCGGUAAAGCGAAUGAUUAGCAGUAUUGGGGAAGAAAUUUCCUCAACUGAUUCUCAAACUUUAAAUGGGUGAGAAGCUCAACUCUCUUUAUUGGAGUUGUGCAUUGAAUGUGAGUGCCUAGUGGGCCAUUUUUGGUAAGCAGAACUGGCGCUGUGGGAUGAACCAAACGUUUGGUUAAGGAGCCAAACAUAACGCUCAUGAGAAACCACAAAAGGUGUUGGUUGAUUUUGACAGCAGGACGGUGGCCAUGGAAGUCGGAAUCCGCUAAGGAGUGUGUAACAACUCACCUGCCGAAUCAACCAGCCCUGAAAAUGGAUGGCGCUGGAGCGUUGGUCCUAUACCAAACCGUUACUGCGAUUCAAUGUAUGCAGUAACGAGUAGGAGGGCGCCGUGGUGAGCAUUGAAGCCUAGACCGUGAGGUUGGGUGGAGCCGCCACGGGUGCAGAUCUUGGUGGUAGUAGCAAAUAUUCAAGUGAGAACCUUGAAGACUGAAGUGGAGAAGGGUUCC
RNAcentral lists this ribosomal RNA (1683 nucleotides) under Opisthocystis goettei. Its description in RNAcentral is "eukaryotic LSU rRNA". It matches the Rfam family "Eukaryotic large subunit ribosomal RNA", at positions 25 to 1510 of the family's 3401-position model. The record is from RNAcentral. Lineage: Eukaryota; Metazoa; Platyhelminthes; Rhabdocoela; Polycystididae.